UUGAUCCUGGCUCAGGAUGAACGCUAGCGGCAGGCUUAAUACAUGCAAGUCGAACGGAAACAGGCGGUAGCAAUACUGCGCUGUCGAGUGGCGCACGGGUGCGUAACACGUAUGCAACCUACCCUUAACUGGGGAAUAACCCUGUGAAAGCGGGGCUAAUACCCCAUAAUAUUAUGGUAAGGCAUCUUACUAUUAUCAAAGAUUUAUCGGUUAGGGAUGGGCAUGCGCCCCAUUAGUUAGUUGGUUAGGUAACGGCUAACCAAGACUGUGAUGGGUAGGGGUUCUGAGAGGAUUAUCCCCCACACUGGUACUGAGACACGGACCAGACUCCUACGGGAGGCAGCAGUAAGGAAUAUUGGGCAAUGGACGCAAGUCUGACCCAGCCAUGCCGCGUGCAGGAUGACGGCCUUAUGGGUUGUAAACUGCUUUUGUAUGGGAUUAAAGUGUUGUACGUGUACGACAUUGCAAGUACCAUACGAAUAAGCAUCGGCUAACUCCGUGCCAGCAGCCGCGGUAAUACGGAGGAUGCAAGCGUUAUCCGGAAUCAUUGGGUUUAAAGGGUGCGUAGGUUGAUUAUUAAGUCAGUGGUGAAAAUUCCGGGCUCAACCCGGGACUUGCCGUUGAAACUGAUAAUCUUGAGUGUAACUGAUGUGGGCGGAAUGUGUCAAGUAGCGGUGAAAUGCAUAGAUAUGACACAGAACACCGAUAGCGAAGGCAGCUCACAAAAUUACAACUGACACUGAGGCACGAAAGCGUGGGUAUCAAACAGGAUUAGAUACCCUGGUAGUCCACGCUGUAAACGAUGAUCACUAGCUGUUUGCGAUACAUUGUAAGUGGUUAAGCGAAAGCGAUAAGUGAUCCACCUGGGGAGUACGUCGGCAACGAUGAAACUCAAAGGAAUUGACGGGGGCCCGCACAAGCGGAGGAGCAUGUGGUUUAAUUCGAUGAUACGCGAGGAACCUUACCUGGGCUUGAACGUAUGGUGCAUGAGUGUGAAAGCACUCUUUCCUUCACAGGACUUCAUACGAGGUGCUGCAUGGUUGUCGUCAGCCCGUGCCGUGAGGUGUUAGGUUAGGUCCUGCAACGAGCGCAACCCCUGUUUUUAGUUGCCAGCAGGUUAUGCUGGGCACUCUAGAAAGACUGCCUGCGCAAGCAGAGAGGAAGGUGGGGAUGACGUCAAAUCAGCACGGCCCUUACGUCCAGGGCUACACACGUGCUACAAUGGUCGGCACAGAGGGUGGCUACCCGGCAACGGGAUGCUAAUCUCCAAAGUCGAUCUUAGUUCGGAUCGAAGUCUGCAACUCGACUUCGUGAAGUUGGAUUCGCUAGUAAUCGUAUAUCAGCCAUGAUACGGUGAAUACGUUCCCGGGCCUUGUACACACCGCCCGUCAAGCCAUGGAAGUUGGGGGUACCUGAAGUCGAUUACCGAAAGGGAUUGCCUAGGGUAAACCGAUAACUGGGGCUAAGUCGU
RNAcentral lists this ribosomal RNA (1471 nucleotides) under uncultured organism. Its description in RNAcentral is "bacterial SSU rRNA". It matches the Rfam family "Bacterial small subunit ribosomal RNA". The record is from RNAcentral.